AGUGAACGCUGGCGGUAGGCCUAACACGUGCAAGUCGAACGGCAGCACAGUAAGAGCUUGCUCUUACGGGUGGCGAGUGGCGGACGGGUGAGGAAUACAUCGGAAUCUACUUUUUCGUGGGGGAUAACGUAGGGAAACUUACGCUAAUACCGCAUACGACCUACGGGUGAAAGCAGGGGAUCUUCGGACCUUGCGCGAUUGAAUGAGCCGAUGUCGGAUUAGCUAGUUGGCGGGGUAAAGGCCCACCAAGGCGACGAUCCGUAGCUGGUCUGAGAGGAUGAUCAGCCACACUGGAACUGAGACACGGUCCAGACUCCUACGGGAGGCAGCAGUGGGGAAUAUUGGACAAUGGGCGCAAGCCUGAUCCAGCCAUACCGCGUGGGUGAAGAAGGCCUUCGGGUUGUAAAGCCCUUUUGUUGGGAAAGAAAAGCAGCAGGUUGAUACCCCGCUGUUCUGACGGUACCCAAAGAAUAAGCACCGGCUAACUUCGUG
This 492-nucleotide ribosomal RNA is filed under the name uncultured bacterium. RNAcentral describes it as "partial 16S ribosomal RNA". It matches the Rfam family "Bacterial small subunit ribosomal RNA", at positions 29 to 507 of the family's 1533-position model. The record is from RNAcentral.